UACGUAGGUCCCGAGCGUUGUCCGGAUUUAUUGGGCGUAAAGCGAGCGCAGGUGGUUUAUUAAGUCUGGUGUAAAAGGCAGUGGCUCAACCACUGUAUGCAUUAGAAACUGGUAGACUUGAGUGCAGGAGAGGAGAGUGGAAUUCCAUGUGUAGCGGUGAAAUGCGUAGAUAUAUGGAGGAACACCGGUGGCGAAAGCGGCUCUCUGGCCUGUAACUGACACUGAGGCUCGAAAGCGUGGGGAGCAAACAGG
RNAcentral lists this ribosomal RNA (252 nucleotides) under uncultured bacterium. RNAcentral describes it as "partial 16S ribosomal RNA". It matches the Rfam family "Bacterial small subunit ribosomal RNA", at positions 524 to 776 of the family's 1533-position model. The record is from RNAcentral.